RNAcentral lists this ribosomal RNA (402 nucleotides) under Verrucomicrobiota bacterium. RNAcentral's name for it is "Verrucomicrobia bacterium partial 16S ribosomal RNA". It matches the Rfam family "Bacterial small subunit ribosomal RNA", at positions 355 to 776 of the family's 1533-position model. The record is from RNAcentral. Lineage: Bacteria; Pseudomonadati; Verrucomicrobiota.
GGGGGAAUUUUGCACAAUGGGGGAAACCCUGAUGCAGCGACGCCGCGUGAUUUAGAAGGCCUUCGGGUUGUAAAAAUCUUUUCUAUGGGAAGAAAAUGACAGUACCAUAGGAAUAAGGACCGGCUAAUUACGUGCCAGCAGCCGCGGUAAUACGUAAGGUCCGAGCGUUGUCCGGAACCAUUGGGCGUAAAGGGUACGUAGGCGGGUAAGCAAGUUAGAAGUGAAAUCCUGUAGCUCAACUACAGUAAGCUUUUAAAACUGCUCAUCUUGAGAUAUGGAAGGGAAAGUGGAAUUCCUAGUGUAGCGGUGAAAUGCGCAGAUAUUCGGAGGCAUACCGUUGGCGAAGGCGACUUUCUGGCCAUCAUCUGACGCUGAGGUACGAAAGCGUGGGUAGCAAACAGG